Camellia sinensis is the source of this 418-nucleotide non-coding RNA. NCBI's taxonomy places the organism in Eukaryota, Viridiplantae, Streptophyta, Magnoliopsida, Ericales, Theaceae. The record is from RefSeq and is a predicted model, not a curated record.
AAUGCACUAAUUACUCUGUUGAGUUAACAAUAAAGACCGACCCGCAAAAUUCAGACUAUGUUGUUGAGUUGGGUGCAUCACGAAAUUUCGAACCUUGGCGUGCAAAGGAUGAGGAAGCAGAUAAGGAAAAACAAAAAAGAGAAACUGAAGAGAUGGGAGAUGCAAUGAAAUCCUUGGAGAAUAGAACCUUAGAUUCAAAAAAAGAGAUGGACAUCCUUGCUGCCCUUGGAUGAAGUGAAGUCCAUGAGGUCAAGACAAGCAACUAUCUGUGUAGAUGCAAUGCUGGAGAUCUUGCAGCGCUCAGCUGAGGAAAAGGAAAAGAAGUUGGAAGAAGAGGAUGAAGCCUUCAACUUGCUUCCCAGUGCUGUAAAUUGCUUCCCAGUGCUUUAAAGAGUACAUGAUUGAUUUUGCAAUUGUG